AUUGAACGCUGGCGGCAUGCCUUACACAUGCAAGUCGAACGAGUGUAGCAAUACACAAGUGGCGAACGGGUGAGUAAUGCAUCGGAACGUAUCCUAUUGUGGGGGAUAACGUAGCGAAAGUUACACUAAUACCGCAUAAGACCUGAGGGUGAAAGCGGGGGAUCUUCGGACCUCGCGCGAUAGGAGCGGCCGAUGGCGGAUUAGCUAGUAGGUGGGGUAAAGGCUUACCUAGGCGACGAUCCGUAGCGGGUCUGAGAGGAUGAUCCGCCACACUGGGACGGAGACACGGCCCAGACUCCUACGGGAGGCAGCAGUGGGGAAUUUUGGACAAUGGGCGCAAGCCUGAUCCAGCCAUGCCGCGUGAGUGAAGAAGGCCUUCGGGUUGUAAAGCUCUUUCGGACGGAAAGAAAUUGCUUCGGAUAAUACCUGGAGUAGAUGACGGUACCGUAAGAAGAAGCACCGGCUAACUACGUGCCAGCCGCCGCGGUAA
RNAcentral lists this ribosomal RNA (490 nucleotides) under uncultured bacterium. Its description in RNAcentral is "partial 16S ribosomal RNA". It matches the Rfam family "Bacterial small subunit ribosomal RNA", at positions 30 to 523 of the family's 1533-position model. The record is from RNAcentral.